Molecule: long non-coding RNA, 335 nt
Organism: Micropterus salmoides (largemouth bass)
Lineage: Eukaryota; Metazoa; Chordata; Actinopteri; Centrarchiformes; Centrarchidae
Exons: 2
Source: RefSeq, a predicted model, not a curated record
UGGGUCUCUCCCUCCAGUUCUGUCGGCCCAGAGAGGCAUAAUGGAUCGUCUCCUCCGGCAGGGACGGACUCCCGUAAACCUCAUACUCUGCAGAGAGACAGCCACAUCUGACAGACACAACAGGAAGAGCACAAAUAUUAUUGAUAUUCUGUACAACAGAUCAUCCGCUUCCUGCCUUCGGAGCAGGAUCCCUCAUCUGUCUCCACUUACUGAGUUUUUCCCCGUAAAAGUUUUUUUUGAGGAGUCUUUCCUCGUCUGAAUGGAGGGUCUAUGUAUCCGGUAUGAAAAUUUAAAUUUAUGAUAUUGGGCUAUAAGUAAAUAUUGACUUGACUUGA